Molecule: ribosomal RNA, 1421 nt
Filed under: Salmonella enterica
Lineage: Bacteria; Pseudomonadati; Pseudomonadota; Gammaproteobacteria; Enterobacterales; Enterobacteriaceae
Description: partial 23S ribosomal RNA
Rfam family: Bacterial large subunit ribosomal RNA
Source: RNAcentral
GAGGCCGAAAGGCGUAGUCGAUGGGAAACGGGUUAAUAUUCCCGUACUUGGUGUUACUGCGAAGGGGGGACGGAGAAGGCUAUGUUGGCCGGGCGACGGUUGUCCCGGUUUAAGCGUGUAGGUGUGUGUUCCAGGUAAAUCCGGUUCACUUUAACACUGAGGCGUGACGACGAGGCACUACGGUGCUGAAGCAACAAAUGCCCUGCUUCCAGGAAAAGCCUCUAAGCAUCAGGUAACAUCAAAUCGUACCCCAAACCGACACAGGUGGUCAGGUAGAGAAUACCAAGGCGCUUGAGAGAACUCGGGUGAAGGAACUAGGCAAAAUGGUGCCGUAACUUCGGGAGAAGGCACGCUGACACGUAGGUGAAGUGAUUUACUCAUGGAGCUGAAGUCAGUCGAAGAUACCAGCUGGCUGCAACUGUUUAUUAAAAACACAGCACUGUGCAAACACGAAAGUGGACGUAUACGGUGUGACGCCUGCCCGGUGCCGGAAGGUUAAUUGAUGGGGUCAGCGCAAGCGAAGCUCCUGAUCGAAGCCCCGGUAAACGGCGGCCGUAACUAUAACGGUCCUAAGGUAGCGAAAUUCCUUGUCGGGUAAGUUCCGACCUGCACGAAUGGCGUAAUGAUGGCCAGGCUGUCUCCACCCGAGACUCAGUGAAAUUGAACUCGCUGUGAAGAUGCAGUGUACCCGCGGCAAGACGGAAAGACCCCGUGAACCUUUACUAUAGCUUGACACUGAACAUUGAGCCUUGAUGUGUAGGAUAGGUGGGAGGCUUUGAAGUGUGGACGCCAGUCUGCAUGGAGCCGACCUUGAAAUACCACCCUUUAAUGUUUGAUGUUCUAACGUGGACCCGUAAUCCGGGUUGCGGACAGUGUCUGGUGGGUAGUUUGACUGGGGCGGUCUCCUCCUAAAGAGUAACGGAGGAGCACGAAGGUUGGCUAAUCCUGGUCGGACAUCAGGAGGUUAGUGCAAUGGCAUAAGCCAGCUUGACUGCGAGCGUGACGGCGCGAGCAGGUGCGAAAGCAGGUCAUAGUGAUCCGGUGGUUCUGAAUGGAAGGGCCAUCGCUCAACGGAUAAAAGGUACUCCGGGGAUAACAGGCUGAUACCGCCCAAGAGUUCAUAUCGACGGCGGUGUUUGGCACCUCGAUGUCGGCUCAUCACAUCCUGGGGCUGAAGUAGGUCCCAAGGGUAUGGCUGUUCGCCAUUUAAAGUGGUACGCGAGCUGGGUUUAGAACGUCGUGAGACAGUUCGGUCCCUAUCUGCCGUGGGCGCUGGAGAACUGAGGGGGGCUGCUCCUAGUACGAGAGGACCGGAGUGGACGCAUCACUGGUGUUCGGGUUGUCAUGCCAAUGGCACUGCCCGGUAGCUAAAUGCGGAAGAGAUAAGUGCUGAAAGCAUCUAAGCACGAAACUUGCCCCGA